AACGUGCUCCGGGGUCGGUGAGAAUCCGAACCGGCGGUGACAGUCCGCGAGCGUCUCGGUUCUCCGAGGUGCCGAUCCGGUGGAAUUCCGGGACCGACGGUGAUGCGAGGCCCGGCCUCGCUAGUCCGGAAGGGAGGCAGCACGGU
This 146-nucleotide non-coding RNA is filed under the name Microbacterium foliorum. Its description in RNAcentral is "FMN sequence". It matches the Rfam family "FMN riboswitch aptamer (RFN element)". From Rfam's summary of the family: The RFN element is a highly conserved domain that is found frequently in the 5'-untranslated regions of prokaryotic mRNAs that encode for flavin mononucleotide (FMN) biosynthesis and transport proteins. Lineage: Bacteria; Bacillati; Actinomycetota; Actinomycetes; Micrococcales; Microbacteriaceae. The record is from Rfam by way of RNAcentral.